UGGCGAACGGGUGAGUAACACGUGGGUGAUCUGCCUCGUACUCUGGGAUAAGCCUGGGAAACUGGGUCUAAUACCGGAUAGGACCACUGGUCGCAUGGCUGGUGGUAGGAAAGUUUUUCGGUACGAGAUGGGCCCGCUGGCCUAUCAGCUUGUUGCGUGGGGUAAUGGCCUACCAAGGCGACGACGGGUAGCCGGCCUGAGAGGGCGACCGGCCACACUGGGACUGAGACACGGCCCAGACUCCUACGGGAGGCAGCAGUGGGGAAUAUUGCACAAUGGGCGCAAGCCUGAUGCAGCGACGCCGCGUGAGGGAUGACGGCCUUCGGGUUGUAAACCUCUUUCACCAGGGGCGAAUGUAGACGGUACCUGGAGAAGAAGCACCGGCCAACUACGUGCCAGCAGCCGCGGUAAUACGUAGGGUGCGAGCGUUGUCCGGAAUUACUGGGCGUAAAGAGCUCGUAGGCGGUUUGUCGCGUCGUUCGUGAAAACCCGAUGCUUAACAUCGGGCGUGCGGGCGAUACGGGCAGACUUGAGUACUACAGGGGAGACUGGAAUUCCUGGUGUAGCGGUGAAAUGCGCAGAUAUCAGGAGGAACACCGGUGGCGAAGGCGGGUCUCUGGGUAGUAACUGACGCUGAGGAGCGAAAGCGUGGGUAGCGAACAGGAUUAGAUAACCUGGUAGUCCACGCCCGUAAACGGUGGGUACUAGGUGUGGGUUCCUUUCAGCGGGAUCCGUGCCGUA
This 741-nucleotide ribosomal RNA is filed under the name Williamsia deligens. RNAcentral's name for it is "bacterial SSU rRNA". It matches the Rfam family "Bacterial small subunit ribosomal RNA", at positions 96 to 850 of the family's 1533-position model. Lineage: Bacteria; Bacillati; Actinomycetota; Actinomycetes; Mycobacteriales; Nocardiaceae. The record is from RNAcentral.